UAAAAAAAGGAGUACAAGGAUGUGGAGGACCCCAAUGACCGGGUUUGCCUUGGGUCCUCAAAUGAGUAAAUACGCUCCUGCUAACAAUCACAUAAACUUUACUUCAUUAAUCAUGUGAUGGAAAUGAAGGGAGUCGAGAAAUUAAUUUCGAAAGGAUGGAAAAGACUCUUCAGAGUCAUUUUUGGUUGACUCAACACAUUAUUGAAGACCUUAUGUUGAUUUUACCUUUAAUUUGUCACUUUGACCACAACAUCUUCGCCCCUCAGUGAUGGACAAGUGAGUGUUGACUUGGAAUUAAUGAGUCACUAAUUUCUCAGCAGCACGUGUGAGAAUAGAAUGUUAUUCUAAAGCGAAUGCGGUUUCGGAAAAACCAAUCACACAGCCGUUUUUUUUGUACCGUAUGUCAAGUUUGAUCAUAUAAAAGUGGUCCUACUGCGUGGAAGGAUGAACAGUCCUUUAUUUCCAUACAGCACAGGUGAAAGGAACUGCUCUCUUAUUGGUCAGCUGGUAGCUGACCUGAAGCCAAAAGGUCAACGCUUCUGUGGAUGUGUCAAAAGACAGCAAUCAUGUGCAGCGCAAUGUGAAUGUGUUUUCCUCAUUAACUUGGCAAGGGUGCUUGUUCUAAUUAGUGGCACUGAGCUAUGGCUGGAAAAAGUGAGCUUAGGCAUGCGGUGCCAUCCAACGGACCUGCCAGCCCAAAGUGCUACCUGCACAUCCUGAUCCUAUGCAGCCUCAGUCCAGUGAGAGUUCAUCUCAAAUGGAUGGAAAUCAAACGCGGAGCUUGGCGAACAUCCUUUCGAAGGGGUACAGGUUGAAGGCAAGUGUACUGCUGAGAUCCUGCAGUAACUCCUCAAGGGACUGGACCCUGGAGAUGAUGUAAGGCCUGCAAAGGUCGCUGGCAUAUUGUGGGAUAUUGCUGCAUUCCAGAACACCGAGGAAGGUGAAAAUGUUCAACCUGCGAUGAGGAAAGAAUGGGUAGUUGCACCCCAACUUCUCCAAGAUGUCAAUGACAGCGCCCACUCAGACAGUUGCCUCCAGCAAGAUUACCUGCGAAAGCACGAUGGUGACAAGUCGGCUAUGGGGUCGCUGCAGGGACACAAGAGACAGCUGGGUUUCAAAUGGAGUGGGGAAGGAGGACAAAGUAAGAAGCUAAAACAAAAACUUACCACUUCCACACAGAAUGGGAGGAGAACUUUUUCAUGUCUGACAUGAAUCCAUGCAAUGUUGAGAAGAGAAGCACACCUACUUGACUUUUGCUAAGCAUGCCACUCACCUCCACUGUGACACAUCCCAGCAUCUGCCUGAGUGAAGAGGUCGUGAGCUGCAGCUGCAAGCAUGUGAGAGAUGCAUUCUCAUCCCACGGUAAAUAGACCUGCUAAUGUAAAUGGAAAAGUGAUGAAAUGGAGACAUAAGGAAGUUGGAAUGUAAACUAUUUAGAGUUGGACAUAUGUUAGGAAAAAUGAGUUACAGUAAUAUGAAUUUAUCUGUUUGUUUGUUUCUUGUCUUUCUAUAUGUCCUUCGUCCAUUUGUACUUCCCAUUCAUUCGUUACCCUGCCUACCCUGUUCAGGAUCAGAGGGCUCACAUAGACAACCAUUCCUACUCUUAUGCACAACUAUGGGCAAUUUAGAGUCUACAAUUAACCUAACAUAUUUUUUUGGGAACACCCAUGUCGAGUCCUGGAUUCAAAUCCAGACCACCUGGCUGUGUGGCCUGUGGCAUAAGUACUGACCACAUACUGUGUGUGGCGAGAUAUUAGCAAACAACAGAAAAUGUAACGUUGAAAGACCUUUUCAAAACAAGCACUCAGCUUUUUCUGAAAAGUACCCAACUGCAGAUGGGCGUAAGGGAGCGAUUUCGUAACUACUACGGAAGGUUGAGCAGAGCAAACAUACUUUCAAGAAGUGGAUGAAGGCUCCAAAGUGAGACAAGAAAUUAUAAUUAUUAAAUAUUCAUAAAAUGAAAAAAAUGCUCCCCCUGCAAAGUCAAAAACAGUCAACAAUAGGACCAAAAGAAUGGCAACAAACAUCACCAGUAGGCAAAUUGAUGACAUUCACUCAGCGCAAGCAUAUUGUGUUGCCUGUGAUGAGUCAAGUGAUGUAAAUAAUAUUGAGCAGACAGUACUGAUAAGCAGAUAUGUGAACUCUGAUGGGCUUUUUUAUGCUAAAGUUGGCCACGUUUUCUUUGAAUUUUACACAAACACGGGAACGACUCAAAAAAGCCAUCAUAGUUCAGUGUUCAAUUAUUUCAAAGUAGCCCGACACAUGCACCCUGCACUUCUGUUAGUUGAAUUCUGUUGUUGCAAGAAGCAAAGUGAUUCUUUUGAUGCUAAAGGUUAUCGACUCCUGAUAUCGGGUGUUCACAUGCAUCUCGAAAAGUAUAGAAGCAUAGCCAUGACCAUGUGAUACUCUUGGGGAAUUACCUAUUACUAAAAUCUGGCUUUUCCAUAAACUGUUUUAUGUAUGUUCAAUGCUGUUAUCCAUGUGGCAGUGAAGUCACAGUUUCUCAGUUUUGGCCACAGCUUGGAAGUAUCCACUUAACCUGACCAUAAUGAUAGGUCCAAUAUUCUAAAUCUUCAUGGAAACACAACAAACAAGGAGUUCUGCUAAUUUCCUACUGCAUGGCUCCAAAUAUUGAGGAAAACAACAUGCAUAUGAGACAUUCAUUUCACAAUUAAAUCACUACUCUGUAUUAAAUACAUGUAUGUGUGCUCCAUAGCAUUGCAUGACUUCAUGAUGACAUCAGUGCUUUACAAAUGCAUGGCCACCGUAUGAUGGGGUUCCCAAACAUCAAUAGGAUCCUGAUCCCUACAGCAUCCCUUGGCCUUUAAUCCAGAAUCUUGCUGUGGUUUCUCCAAUGAAAGAUGAUGGAAGACCAGGCAGCUCUCACGCUUCUAGUCUCGCAAACGCAUUUAAACCCCUGAGUGACUUAUUUAGACAGCACACCCUGUUAUUCCCCACUCCUCAAACUCACCACUGAUGUUUAAUCAGCAGGAAAAGACGCUUCUGGGGUCAGCAAAGCCACUGCAAACUAGGAAUUUAUAUUGAAAUUAAUAACCAGUGUGUCAUGACAAUAAUAGUGGAUCAUCCCAAUCAUUCGGAAAUGGAGGAAAAAGCUGCAAGGUUGUAAAUUUAUAUGUGGAUCACCACAGGUCUUUUGGAACUAUCGGGGUAUGAAAUGUUAAGCUAUGUGGUUAUGCACCAUGUCAUAAAUGUGGCAGUUGUUUGAGUCCCGUCAGGAAUAUGGAAGCAGUAUGUGAUUUAAUGGAGACAUUGGACGGUAAUGGUUGGUUGGCUUGUGUGGCUUGAAAUAGAAAUAGGAAGUGGAUGACAGCAUCCUCUGUAUCUGGUGUAGCUCAACUUUGGGGCUGAGGAAAGACUGACAGUUAGGUCUGACAGUUUAGACUGGGGUCAAGCAGGAAAUGGCUUUUUACGCUCCAAUCUUUUAUUUCUACAGUAUACGCUUAUUUAUACAGUAUACAUAUCAGUGAUGUGCGUUGAGGUUCAUGGCUGGUGAGGCACCGAUGCCUUUGGAGUUUUAAAAAAUGUUAAUAAAGGUUGCUCGUUACUCAUUACAAGUGGAUUUUCAUAGUCAAAUCUGAGUCAUUAGAUGUUGUCCAUAGUUGACUAAUAUUCAAGUGUUUUAGAGCAGAGCUAUUGGCAAUCCCGACAAACAGAUCUCAUGACAUCCCCAUCAGCAGUGUACUACAUCAGCAGUGACUUACCCUCCCAAUUGGUCCCGAGAGCCCGGUUCUGAUAGGCGAUCCGUGACGAGGAACGUAGUUCCGCUUAGUUGCCAGUAGAGAGUUUGGCCUCUUAAAACAAUAUGCGUUCAAAAGAGUAACACAUUUGCAUCAUAAAAAUACCCCCUCAAAAAAAUCGGACCUCACGAAUCGCAGCAACUAAGCGGAACUACGUUCUUCGUCACGGAUCUCCGGCCAGAACUGGGCUCACGGAAUCAAUUACUACACUGCUGAUGGGGAUGUCAUACAACUUCAUGUCAAAAAAUCGGAACUAUCCCUUUAAAAUUCACUGUCAGGAUAUAAAAUGAAGAUGGCGUAACGGCCUUAGCUGUUUUAAAUGACAUUCAGUGAUGUUCAACGAUGAGCCAAUGACGUCGUGAGAUAUGUAAGAAGCUGCUGACACAAGUUGCACUUCACUUUGUGGAGUCAUCUUUAACCUUUUCAAAAUACUUCCACACUUAAGAUGUUUUUUUAGUAACUUUUACGAGCCAAUAAGUCAGUCGAUGUUGACGGGCUUUGUAGCGCGCCUCAUCUCCUUGGGAUUGUGCCACGGAAGCGGGUGAUUUUACGAAUGUGUGCUAAGUCUAGGUCUUGUGUUAAACGCACACGUCAUUUUCAAUUCUUUAUUAGCACAAAUUAGGCGAGAUUGAUCGUCGGACCAGAUUCCUCCAAACUGAAUCGCCGAGUAGUCGACUAUUAUAAGACACCUCUACUAUCCCGAUCAGUGAAACACGAUAUGAUAAUGAAGUUAAGUCAGUUGUAUUAAACUGUGAUAUUACAGAAAAAGCUGAAUACACAUAAUCCUGCUCAACCAGGUCAAUGCUCCAAUGUGUUUGUUCGGAAAACACACUGGUGAAUGUCACCGUCAUCUUGAAAAAGCCCAAGUAGGACGUAAUUAAAACCAAAUUGUCGGUAAGAACGGUUAGUGAAUGUUUGUUGUUGUAAGAAUGAAAAAGUAGCCAGUAGCUUAUUUGAAAGCCAGAAUGAAAGUGACAUCCCAUGGAAGACGGUGUGCAGGGCUGCUUGUAGUGCAUUUCAAUGUGUUUAUUUAAGCUUUGGCUGCAUGCGGCUUCCACUUCAGAGUGAGUGUGGUGCCACUCGCUCUUGUGAAAUUCACCAGUCAAGAAUGUUUCCUCCGCACGUGACGACGGCCUCACACAUGACUGAGAGCCACAAGCAGCACUUUAGAAAGCAAAGAGCCACGGGCGCUUCCAUGAUUUCUUUGGAGUAUGCAAGGUCAUUGCCCACCUCCUUUCCAAACCAACUCCCACUCCACCCCCUUAUGUUUCCUCUCAUCUCCGUCUGGGAAAGGUGAGCAGCUAGGACUGGAACAGCAAGCACCAUUCAGAGGGGGAGGAGGAGGAAAGAUUUACACCUUGUCCUCAUCUUUACUGUACGGAGAUUUACGGCCUUCUCAAUGCAAAGCAGACUUGUUAACGCAGCAAACACUCUUGAUGAGCAACAGGUGAAUCACCCAUUUUGGAAUUUAUGAUAACACAGUUUACAGUUUAAAAGGCUAGCGUGAGUAGUAAAGGUUUUUGGCAAGAACCUGUUAUUCUAAAUAUCAAAAGAUCACCUAAAGCAGCUAUGCUGUACAGUACUGGCCCAUGUGCAAGUAGGCUCCGCAAAGGAACUGUUUUACACACUCCUAUAAUACACUAUUUUUAAACAAUUUGAAAUAAAUCCCAGAGGUCCCACAAUUGUGAACUCAACGUCUAGCCUUGAAUGAAUUUAGACAAAAGCGCGUAUCAUAAGCUCGACUGGGAACAGCCAUUUUGUGUCUGUAACAUUUAUGCUAAUGAACCGUGGAGUGUGCUCCUCAUACUAUUUUUCAACCUCAAUUCCUCAGGAGCAUUAAAAAAUGUGUUCACUGUUUAUCUUACACAACUCACACAAUGCUGCACGGUGGCCUGGUGGUUAGCCAGGGGUUUAUGUGCGUGGGUUUUCCUCCAGGAAGUCCAGUUUCCUUCCAUAUUCCAAAAAUAUGCAUGUUAGGUUAAUUGGAGACUCAGAAUUGGCCAUGAUUGUGAAUGGUUGUCUGUCUAUAUGUGCCCUCUGAUUGGCUGGCGACCAGUCCAGGGUGUACCCCACUUCUUGCCCAAAGUCAGCUGGGAUACCCCCAUGACCAUAGUGAGUACCAGUGGGAUAGGAAAUGGAUGAAUGCUCACAAAAAGUCAGGGAUAUUUGGCUUUCGUGUGACAUUUUAGGAUGAACCUGUCAUGAUCUGUGUUGUCGCUCUGCUGCCGCCUGUCUGCCUUGUGUUGCAGUGCAUGCGGUCCUGCUGAGGCGGAGCUGGCAGCGCACACCUGCGGCCAAUUAGUGCACCUCUUCUUAUGCUGAUAGUUUGCUUCUGCUCCGUGCCAGAUUGUCCUCGUUCCUCGCCUCGCCUCGCCUCGCCUCUGUCUUGUAUCCCGUACCCUAGCUUUUUCCUCUAGUUUUGGUCGUGAGUAUUACUCCUGCUUGGCUACUUCCAGCAGCUCCUUGUUUUGCAUUUUUCUUGCUAAUGUUAGUGUUACCUGCUGGCUUAUCCGCAUCCUUUUGCUGGCUGUCCAUUUUUGUUCUGCCUUUUGCCUAUGGCUUCGCCCUCUAUUUUUGUUGUCAGUAUUUGCUCCCAUUUUUUUGUAUGCUUUGUGCAUCUUUUUCCCUCUUCGGAGGCUAUUUUGUAUUAAACCUUCUUUGUGUGUGUGUGUGUGUGUGUGUGCGCUUCUCUGCAAACCCUGUUUUCGCCAGCUCGUGACAGAACCUAUAACUUACGGGGAUUUGACCUUCUCUACACUUUGUUUCCUUUUUAUUUCCAAAACAACAAAAAUGUCACGCUCUGUGUGACUUGUUGGACUUCUUGUUGUUCUGCCCAUUGUUUCCACCUUAAUUUCCUGUUUUGUGCUCUUAUUUUUUGCAUCUGUUUCCUGUUUAGUGCUAUAGUAGUUCUCCCUUCUGAAGCUGCUGAUCACAGCUGGUCCUCAUUAGUAAUUAGGAGGUUUCUUAUGGUGAGUGUGUGGAUUUGGCCAUUUGUGUGUGACUUUGAUGUGUUUCCGGGGCUUCUCCAGUCCACCUGCUGAAGCUAAUUAAACACUUUCACCUGCACUUCGUCUCACUAUCCUGAGGUCACGACCAUGUGCGAUCGUGUCAGAAUGAGCCAGCCACUGUGGGCCCCACAGAGCAGGAUUUUUGGAACUCACUUUUUCUUAAAGCGCUGCAUGCCAUGUGUGAGCCUUACACGCAAGAGGAAUCAGACAUGUUGAUGGUUGGUCCUGACGGCAAGCUUGACCCCAUCAACUGUGUUCCCCAGAACCACCGCUCGUGCUCCUGGGUGCUCUCGCAGCAAGUGCAAGCUUGAACCGACUCCAGCGGCCGCUCACACACAGCCCGCCCUCGAUGCGAACGCACGUCUCGGCUGGCCGGCUCCAGUUCCAAGUCCAAGUCAGGUCAGAAGUCGUUCCCCUCCUCCUUCCACUCCGGCACCCCUUCUAACUCACCUCCUGACGACUCUGAUGCGUGCUCUACGUCAGCUUCCAACUCCUCCAGUGCCUGCUCCACAUCAGCUUCCGACACCUCCGCUCCCUGCUCCAUGCCAGUCCAAGACCAAGGUCAAGCUUCCUCCUAUCCCGCCACCAUAUGCCUUCUCAGCCACCACUGCUUCCGGCUGCAAAUGUCAAGUCAACUCCAGUUCUCACUCCACGCCAGCCCAAAGCCCUGACACCCCCAAACGCAUGGCAAAAUGGGUUCCAGGGGGUCAGAGCAGGACGGACUUUUGGCCUUCCUCCAAGACUCCCACCGCCCUUCCCUGGCGUCUGCCUCACAUGGUCGGGCAGAGCCAUCAGACCUUUCUCCCUGUGUCUGUUGUCAAAAGAGAUGUUUGGAAUCAGUCUAGAAGUGGGUAGCUAGUACCCUCAGCCGUGCGACCGGGGACGCACCGCUCGCUCCUGCUCCACGCCAGACCGAGGCCAAGUUGCCUCCUGCUCCUGCUCCUGCUCCUGCUCCUGCUCCAUGCAGAGGCCGAGACUGGAGCUAAUUAAAGACUUUCACCUGCACUUUGACUGUCUCCGCAUCCUGGGGUCACGACCAUGCGCCACCGUGACGAUAAUAGUAUCAAAUUAAAGAUGUGAGCAGUGCUGAAUGGGCUCUUGUCCCACCACUUACAUCAGGGCCCACGCAAGUAGGUGAUUUUUUUUGUGUGUGUCUUUUCCUGUUGCUACUGGUUGACACUGACAAAUUCAGGGAGUGGUCGAUGCAUAUAGCUUCAGGUGUCGUCUUGAUCAUGCAUACCAAUCAUGAUGAUCGGACCACGUGGAUCAGAUCACGUUUACAUUGUUGUGGUGAAUUGUCAGACUGACCAUCAAAGUUUGUCGUCAUGCCCCGCGAACAUUCUAAAACGCUUUGCAAUUUGAUGUCAUCCAUCUGUCUAGUAUCCGUGAUUUUGAUUUGGGCUCAUUUGGUCAAAGUCCCUAGGAGGGGUUUGUCACAAUCAGUGAAAAUGGCGGCAGGGGUUAAUUAAAAAAAUAAAAUAAAAAUUAUAAGGGACCCUUAAAAUACCACAUUUUUCACAGGGUUGACUUGCUUGCAAAUUUUGAGUUUUCAUGCGAGCUUAGGCACCCAGAAAUACAAGGAAACACAUGAAAUAAUUUGCACCGCUAUGGCUCUGUGCUGGAGCCCUCAUGGAAGGAUCUCCAUUACGAUAAUGUCAAACAAAAUAGCAGUAGUAAAAACAAAGGAGUCACAAAAAAACUACACAAUAUGUUCGAAAAGGAGCACAUUUGUUGAUCAACAUAACUUUUUCAUCACAGAUUUUGUCUGUGGUGAUCUCCCAGUCAAGCUGACAUGAUCAGCUGCCUGCGGGUUGUGUGGGUCAUAAAUUGGUGCACUUUAGUAAAUCACUGUGAAGCUGGCAGCCAAUAAAACACUAAGAAGCCACUUUAAAGGGCGUGGAAGGCUUGUCUUCUGCCACUCACUUUCACUGCGCUGUUGCUUCCCUUUGUCCCCCCCCCCCCCCCCACCCAAGACUUGGCAACCAAAUUUUCAGGUUUAGAUCUGGCAACCAUGGUUGUGGUUUUGGCCAACAAACUCAUAAUUUGUCCCCUGUCGCGCCAUGUUAUGGUGGUUUUGAGCUCUCCAACUUAGUUUGCAAGUGUGGUCGCUGUGGCUAACAUGAUAUGGCAUUGAUAUAUUGCAUUUUUCCUCCCCAAAGCAAAUUAUAAUCAUUUAACCUCACAAUGCAUAUAUCCUGUGCAAGUUUUUAAAUGUACCACUUUAAGUGUCUCGUGCAAACGCAGACGACAGCGCUAAAGGUCACAUUCGGUUGGCGUUCACUGUAAAAAAAAAAAAUGAUGAGGGAGCCUGGAUGUCUGACUAAAGCUGCUUUCAGUUGCACGUGCAGCACACAGCAAUUCACCUUCCAGGUCAGUGUGCAUGUGAGAGCUACUCCUGAAGCGUGAGGCUGUAAUCAUGGUCUCUCCACUGUGUCUUUAGGUUGGUUUAGAAGGUUGGAUUAAGUCAGUGGCAGUACAACAUGAAACAGCCCUCUGCUGGUCACAGCAGAGCUGCACAUGAAUAGACUGGGGGCUAUUCUGGAUCAGUAGCCUCCUUGCCUUUUCAACUCUCUAAUCAAAAAUACAUAAAAGCACAUGUUCAUGUUUUUGUUGAUUUGAUGCUGGAAUGCAUUUCAGCACAGCUGCAUACACGCUCAUGGAAUGCAGCAUUGGGUACACUGCAGUAAAGAAUAACAGGUGGUGCCGCCAGGUAGCUGUAUUUACCUUUACUAGACUGUAUAGGGGCCGCACGGUGGCUGGGUGGUUAGCACACAGCCACACAAGCCACACAGUCAGGAGAUCGGGAAGAUCUGGCUUCGAAUCUGCGCUGGGCAUUUCUGUGUGGAGUUUGCGUGUUCUCCCCGUGUGUGUGUGUGGGUUUUCUCCGGGUACUCCGGUUUCCUCCCACAUUCCAAAAACAUGCAGGUUGGAAUUGAGCACUUCUGUUGGCGUGUUACGGUGUAAAUAAAGUCUAAAAAGCGUGAGACUCUGUUCAUCUGUCGAGACAUAAAGACGUUACUUACACGAUACCUUCAAGAGCUUUUUGCAGGUGGCUGAGUCUGCAUUAAUUUAGCACCAAAAUCAGGCAAAAAGGUUUGUCGUUCACAUUUUUUUUUGUCGUUCUUUCCAAGAAUUAAUGUUAAAUCUGAGGAUUUAUAAAGAGUCCAUUGUUCAAAUCGAGAUUUCCAGUGCUUUAGAUUGACGGACUCCAUCACUCUUUCAGCUGUCACCAACAGCUCCAAGUUGAUGAUAAAAAGGCCAGCUCAUUAAUCAAAUGUGUUUCCUUGUUUUGAUGGCUUCAGAAUAGCCAUUAUAGACGCUGACUGGACGACAUUGUGUUGCGUAUGAGUUCACGUCUCCCUUCGCCCCCUCACCCAAACACAGCCCCAAAUAGGCGGCCCCUCCCUCCCUAAGGGCCACUAAGCUGGGUGACAUGGCCGUCAAACAAAAUCUCGGAGCUUCCCUAAGUCUCGGUUGCCACGGGGCAACAUCAGGAAUGUCGCCGUGAGACAAAGGACGAUUACUGACCUGAUUUCUCCAUACGCUGACAUUUGUGAGUUGUUUGCGUCCUUGUAUGGGAAUUCUUGCCAUUGGAGCUGGUCUGGCGUGGACAAAGACAUAAAGACAUACCAAACUUUUCUUUCAGACAUCACACACAAAGGAUGUUGUUGCAAUCCUUGAAAAUCUCUCAAUCAGUCAAACUAGAAGUGGGUGUCCCAGAUCUGUUUACCACUGGUUUAUGCAGCAACGUAAUAAAGUAAUACUAAUAAUUAGGGAUGUCCCGAUCCACAUUUUUUGCCUUCCCAUCCGAUUUCUUUAUAGUCUUUUUGUAACAAACCUCUGUGAGUCACGUCCCUAAUCCAAAAAUCCUUCCAAUAAAGGAUAAAAUUGUAGUGCAAAAUACUUUUAGGGUAGGACUAAUCAUUUCACAUGGUUAUAAUCAAUUUGUGGUGUGAUUUAGAGUAUAUGACAUUUUUUUAACACUCUUCAGUGCAGUGGUAAUUUAUUGACGGUCCCUAGUGUAAACAACCAGCGGUUAGAGCAGCACUUCCCAAGCGAGCAGUGGCGGAGCCAGAAAAGUUUCAUCGGGGUGGCCAAGGUGAGACCAUUACUCAUAGUGGUAGCAAUAAGUUAGUAGCUGAAAUGUCUAGAUUGCCGGUGAGGUGGCCGAAGAGUGAUCAAGGGUGGCCACGGCCACCACUGGCCACCAUGUAGCUCUGCCACUGCGUUUGAGCUCCCCGCACAAUGGCACAGUCAGGCGGAACUACCGCUGUAGCUACGGAGCGGAAUAUCCAACGUCCAACGUGAAACUAACUUCACCACGGUACACCGCGGACGUGUCUGCGUGGUGGUGUUGCGCUUUCUUCUUCUUGCGGGCCGCUGGAGUCGAGUGGCAACCAGCUUUGAGGCACAUUAGUGCACCUACCAUGUUAGAGUGUGGCUCAGAGUUCCGAACGCAGCAACGGUAACCGCAUGGGCCCAAUCUGGUGGCAGAAACCAAUAUUUAUCAAAAUACAGCGGAUCGGCAGAUGAUCCCGAUCCUGAAGAUUGGAUCGGAACAUCCCUGAUAAUAAGAAGAAAUAAUAAUAAAGUUCAAGAUUAAAAAUGAGAUUAAUGUGAUUAAUGUAUGACUGUAAUUAAUGCUUUAAUUUCACACCCCUAUAUAAGUUUCACUUCUGUAUCUCACAGCAACUAUGGUGCGUUUAGGGACCGCCGAAUAAUGUGCGCAAUCUCAACAUUAUCAAUGAAGCCUAAAGACAUAAACAUGUAAAAAUGGUGUGUUUGUUUUGCUGUACAUAUAAUACAUACCUCUAUUAUCACAUAUUUUUUUAAUUAUUACCGACUUUGGAGGAAUGAGGUAUGGUUUGUACGGACAAAACAGCCUAUUUUCUGUUGGGUUUUUUUGUUUGUUUUUUUACCAAAUACGCAAAUCGGCGAACACUGAAUCACAAAUGUGCAGGAGUCCACUUUAAUAGAAACUGAAACAAUCGGUCCCUGGGUCAUACCAAUCUAGGCAAAAGUCUGAAAUAGAUGACUUGCCUUAUAUUAGUAAUAAUGACAUUUAUACAUGUGUAACCCGCUUGGUCCAGCCAGCCUCACGUUCCACCUGGCCUUGAACCCAGGGUCCACAGAUUGAAAGUCAAGAGUGCUAGGCAUCGACCCAAAAGCCCCCAGCUGUUACUCGAUAUCCAGGGCGACUCUUUAGGUGUCAGGGAGUGAGAUUAACCAACGUACUUCCGCACAGAAGCACAUUUUGUCAAAUGCUAAUCAUCUUGUCAACUCAUUUAGGUAGAAUGAGUUGCAUGGUUAUCCCGUAUGUGACCGCAUUGUCUAAGUAUCAGCUCAUGGCUUAUGUAACAUGUCUCCAAUGCCAAGUUAUGACAAUCUCAGGCAUUAGGAGACAUAAGGUCCUUGUUUACUGACGGAACAUUUCUACUUUAAAAUGACCCUUUGUUUGGGUCAUGAAUGUGUUUGUGUGUACUUACGUGUGGUGGUGCUUCAGUAGCUAAUUGUGUUGAUCCCAUAGUUAAUCUGCAUUAGACUCCCACAGUGGAACUUGACACUUUUUGGACUCCCGCCUAAAACCAAAUUAGACUGUACUCACUACUGCAAGGUGAAGCAAAGUAACCUUCUUUUGGUCAACUUCCACUUUGCUCCGAUGCGUCUAUGUGUGAAAGAAGUGUGGUGUCUUUUUUUGUGUGUACAUUAAAACAAAAAGCCCUUAAUCUUACUUAAGUGGAUUAUUUUUCAGGGACAAAACACUUUAUUUCCUGUUGCAGAUCAGAAGGUUCACGCUCAGUAAGCAUUCAUAGAC
Molecule: long non-coding RNA, 12581 nt
Organism: Dunckerocampus dactyliophorus (ringed pipefish)
Lineage: Eukaryota; Metazoa; Chordata; Actinopteri; Syngnathiformes; Syngnathidae
Exons: 4
Source: RefSeq, a predicted model, not a curated record